Long non-coding RNA from Falco peregrinus (peregrine falcon), 12738 nucleotides. RefSeq lists it as uncharacterized. The record is from RefSeq and is a predicted model, not a curated record. Lineage: Eukaryota; Metazoa; Chordata; Aves; Falconiformes; Falconidae. The transcript has 3 exons.
GGAGCCCUGCAGCCAGGGAGGAGGGGGAGGCAAAGCCUCCACUCUGGCGCCGGGCCCAGCAAGGCCAGGAGGAGCUACCCGAGAGAGUCUCCGUGGCUGCUGCGGGGUCAGGGUUGUGGCUGCCCGUCACGUCUCUGUUGUGCCUGGCUGUUGCUUGGGUAGAAUAUCUCUUUGCUUGCAGCUGCUGGUUGUGUUACGUGUCCUGCUGCAGGGCAGUUUGGGGCUGUGCUGGCAAUGCUCCUGGACAAGGAGCCCUGACUGCGGUGGGCCAGGUCAGGGAUUGGGCUGUGCCCCACGGUUCUGGGACCGGUCACUGUGGGGCAGAGCCACCCCAGGACAGCUUCUCCCCACACCAUCAGCAACCACCCAGCCUGCACCCAGCAAGUUCUGGUGUGGCUCUCCUCACAGCCACACUGGGGACAGCCCUGUCCUGCUCCCCCUGGAGUUCCUGGCUGUUCUGGGCCCCUCCUGAAACCCACGUGGCUUGGUUCAGCUUUAUUUGAUGUUUAGCACUGGACGUGGCUAUGACAUCUAGCAGGAUGUGAAGCGCAGCCUGCAGCUCCCCCAGUCCCACUCCCGGGCAGGGUGAGGGUGACAGGUGAAGAGGGGGCAAGUGUUGUACUAGGCCGUGUUCUGGAUGGGAACAGUCCAUCCUUGGCCCCAGUAUUGUGCAGUGUCAUAAGUGCCCCUUGCUGAGCAGGGGGGUUUCAGCAAUGUGCACAUUCUCACCUGCUCUUGGGGGAGGAACAUGUUUUUUCUGGCUGAGCCCUGAGCUCUCUGUUGUCAUUUCUCCCUCUCCUCCCUUGUGUUGCCCAUGUGUGGUGCUGGGCAGCCUCUGCCAAAAGCAAGGGACAGCAGGGAGGGGAAGGGCUGCCCUUGCCCAGGACAGGGGCAGCCAUCUCAUGUGAGUUAUGUGGGGUUGUGCUGUGCUUCCCAGGAGCCUGGCUCAACAGUUUUGCUCUUCUUUCACAGGUACAGAGGAGAUGCUGGCACUGCCUUGCCUGCCCCAGGAGAUCUGGGGCACCCCCAGUUCACUUCUGCCCUAGGGAAUAUAACUGGGGGAGGCCCUCUGUGCAGAGAGGCAUCUGGUGUGGAUUUAAGCCCCAGUGGAAGAGGCUGGGCUCCCUGCUUCUCAGAGCUCCUUGCUGGGGACAGCCCUGCAUGUGCCUGCCUCGCAGUACAGAUCCAGCUGAUGGACACCUGGGCUUGUUACAGCUCCAGGUAAUUUGAGCUCCAGCCAAUUUGAGCUCCAGCCAUGAGAUAUUCCUGCUAAUAGUCACUCCUUCCUGUUACAGUUGCAGGUAAGCUCGGCUCUCUCUAAUAGAGGUGAUGGAGAGCAGAUGCUCUCCUGUUCAGCCGUGCUGGGAGUGUAGCCCUGGCUGACGGACAUCACAGCUUGCCACAGCUCCAGCAACUUGAUGCUCUGGAUUAGAGAUGUUCCUACUUCUUUCAGCUCCUGCUGACAGACUCUCCAGCAUGCUGCUGCUCAGGGUAUUUGAAACUCCAGCUAAUUUCAGUUCUUGAUGCUUGUUCCAGUCUCAGGUAAUUUCAGUUCUAGCUGCUGGGUGUUCCAGCUUGUUAACAGUUUGAGGUAAUUUCAGGUCCAGCUUCUUGAAGCUGCAGCUCUGGCUAUGAGAUCCUCCUGCUGAUGGAAGUUCCAGUUUGUUUCAGCUUUGGCUGAUGAAUGCUCCAAGGGGGUAAGUGAUGUUUCUUGUCACCAGCUCUGGCUUAAUAAAUGCUCCUUCUGUUAAAGCUCCAGGUCAUUGCAGCAACCUGGGCUUUUGGCAAGGUUGCAAAUCAAUCAACCAAUCACUGUUAUAACUUGUAUAUAACUAUGAACUGUCAUAAUUACACAUUGUCUAAAUAUGUACUCUUGGGUUAAUAACUGUUCCGGUGGUUGUACACACCUUGAAUAAGGAGUUGGAUACACAGUGAGUGUGAAAAGCACCUUUGACUCCAGAGCGCAGACGUUUAAUUCGGUCUGAUGCAUGCCAGCAUCCCAAGCUUUGGGGACCAACAUGACUGGACACCCACCUCUGGCAGGGGUCCACAUACCCCCUCCCCCCCCAUCUCCCACCUGCCUGCAGUCCCCCCAGCGUCAUCCCAGACUCUGUUUGGGGGGCUGAAAACAGCCAACUGAGCCUGUUUCCAACUCUCAAAACCACAGCACUUAGGUUUGGUGGUUAUGUUUUUUUUUUCCUGGAGCCCAGAAACACGGGACUUAGCCUGCAUUUUCAAGAACCGAAAAUGCAUGACUUCUGUCUUUUCCUAAGCCUCAGAAAAGCGGCAGCCACCCUCUGCUUUUGAGCCCCCAAAAAUAAAGGACUUAGAUAUUUGGUUUUUUUCUGAGCUGUGAAAAUGUGGGACUUAACCCACAUUUUCAACUGCUGAAAAUACAGUACUUGAUCUUUUUUUCUGAGCUUCCGAAACAGAGAGCUCUGCCUCUAGUUCUGAGGCCCAAACCCAGUUGCUAGAGCUUGUGUUCAAGGACCCAAAAUGCAGCACUUCUUAAUCUCUGUUUUCAAAAGAUGAAAACUCAAGACUUGAUUUCUGGUUUUAGUGCCUGAAAUACUAAAGGACUUGAUAUCUGUUUCCAGCUGCUGAAAAUCCAUGACUUGACCCCUUCUGGAGCUCCAAAGCCAACCCACUCACUAUGUUUCCAAGCCCCCAAAACAGAACACUCACUCUUCAUUUUAGGGGGGUUGAAACCCAGCACUGAAAUUCUGUUUCCUGACUCCAUGUGUGAUGUGAUGUGAUUGUGGGGGGCAGGGGAGGAGUGGAGCCCACAGCAAUUUGGGGGAGUGCUUGGGAACUGGGGUGGAGGCACCCUCCCUGCUGGGGGGGUGUGUCUAGUCCUGUGUCUGUGGGGCAGCACCAACAGAUGUAGAGAAUCACUUUAUUCUGCUUUAUUUCACUAGCACCAGCGGCCCCACACCCCAGACAUCACCUGCCAGAGCACAGCAGCUGCAGCCCCCCACAGGGAGCCUUGCCCGGGCACCCUGGUAGCACAGCCUGGCCAGGCAAGGAAGGCUGCAACCCCCUUCCAGGGAAGCCCUCCCCAAACCUCCUCCAGGAGGAAACACACCCCAGUGGUGAGCAGCCUGGGGUGGGAUGGGGCUGCCCUUGCUCCCCCACCCAGCCCUGGAUCUCCCUGGAUGCCCUGAGAGCCCCGUAGGCUAUCCACAAGGCUGUGUGUCUCCUGGCCAUGUAGGAGGGGGUCUCCGUGCCCUGUGGGUGGCUGUGCCCCCAGGAAAGGGCUGGUGGGACCUUUCCCUUUGGGCGGGGGGCUGUGUCUCCUGAGCUGCCGAAUGGGCAUCUGCCCUAGUGCAGGGGGGUGCUGGGGCCCUGGGCUGCCUGCUUCCCUCAGGAGGGUCCAGGCUCCUGUGCCUUCAACAGCCAUAGCCUACCAAUGCAUGGCAUCCACUGUCUCCGUGGGAACUCUGGUGGGGAAAAAGCAAACCUCAAGAAGUCAUUAAGUAAUUAUCUAGAGGAAGGUGUGUCUUGGGUAGAGCUGAGCAAGCUCAGCUGCUUGGGAGUGUCCACUCAUUCGUGCUUAAUCUCACCUGGGGAGCAGCUGGGUCCUGCUGAAAUGACACAUCCUAGCCCUCAAGCCUGCAGAGCUACAAGCAAACUGCCUUUCCCACCCAGUCUCGAGCCCCAUGCACACUGGCUGCACCAGCGAAACCAGCGCCAGAGGCUCUAGGGCUGCUGAGGUACAAGUCCCUUCCUGACACUGUUGUGAGACCGGUGAGAGGCAUUGUCAUCCACGCUCCCCCCGGGGAAUGGAGCAUCAGCAGGGCACAAACCUUGGAGAAAGUGCAGGAGGAGGUGUCCCCCUGAGCUAGACAUAGGCUGCCGGGGCAGGAACCCACCACCGCGGCAGGUGUCCUGCCCCUGGCCCACGCCUGGGCAAGACUGGCACUCGCACCUUGUGAGGCCAAGAAUUACCAGCGCAAAUUCUCUCCAUCUCAGCCUCGGGGGUGAGGGAGCUUGAUGACAGCGCAUCUGGGGACACAGGGAUGGUCCUCAGCCCCCUAAGUCCUGAAAACUGGGAUCCCUUAGAGACCUGCACUGCAGAAACAGCAACAGAAACCAAAGCAAUCAUCAAACUAACACUAACAAAACAAGAAAUACAACCAACCAGACAAACCCAAACCAAAAUAAACAAAGGCUAGAGGAAAAAACAAAUCUCCCCAGGCAGGCACAGACCAAAUAAACAAGGCAGUUUUUGGCCCCAUGGAAAUGCUCCUUUCCCAGCUGUACCAGUUAGCCCGGACUGCCAGGCAGCACACAGCUGCCUCCAGUUUGAGGGCAGAAUGGCAGGGCCACCUGCAGCAGGCACCAGGAGAGAGGGGAAGGCAGAGCACCUGGCAGUGAGGAGACGUGGGUGGUGAGGCCCCAGCAGGCAACCAUCAUGAACAGGCCAACAUCUUCCUCCCAGAGGGUCAAAGUUUAUCCAUGAAGAAAAAUGGAAGUAAAAACAACUGGAGCAAUCUGCCCAACCAGGCGACGAAGAGGCUGAAGUGCUGCCUCAGCACCACGAGCAAACAUGACCUUGUCCUGGGCAGUGAAGCCCAGCCCAGGUGCCCGUCCUGUUUGCUCCACCUGCAGGGGCACCCAUCACUCGUGUGUGCCUCAAGGAGCAGCCUCCCCUGGGGCUGAGCUGGGAGGAAGGCGUCUGCCUUCCCUGGGUGGCACUGCUAGGCUGCAGGAGGAUGGGAACCACUCCAAGAGUGACAGCCUCCAUGCUCUGCCACAAAGACACCACCUCUGAGGUGGCAUGGGUGAUCUGCAGAGACACUCAAUAGACACUGCCAGUGAAACCAAGGCCUUUUCCCACCAGCCUGCACCUCCCCUUCUGCAAUGGCCCUGCAGACUGGGAGCUGCAAACUGCCUCGGCUUCCCCACUGCCAGCACUGCGCAGCACCCCGGGGGCUUUGUGGGCAUUCACACCGUGCCCCAGGCUCCCUUGGGAUGAAGGGUAAGUCAGAAAGGCGAACGAGCUGCACAAAGGUAUAUGCCAGAAACACACCGAGCAGCUCCAGCGUGGCCUCAGGUCAGCAGAGCUGGUCCCAGGUCUGUCCUUGCCCGAGUUCUUUAAGUGUUCCAUUAAAAUCUUUAGGAUGAAGCGUUUCCUCCCCAGGGAUCCUCCACGGCUCCAUCACAUCACUCCAAGGGAGCAGAAGUUACCCGUCAGCCUGUGGGCUCUAGUACCUGCAUUGCUGUCGACACAGCCAAGUGCCGAAGGGGCUGUCGGGGACCAGGCUCUGGCACUGGAUCUGCCUGCGCUCAGGCUUUCCCUCCCCAGAGGGGCAGGACCAGCAUCUUUGCCAGCUCCUCCUCAGCCACCAGACCGCCAGUCCCCACCUGCCUGCAGGGGCUGGGGCAGGACUCGUACCUGUCCCGGGGCAGCUGCGUCUGCAGCAGGCUGUUGACAAUGGCCACAGGGUGAGUGAGGAUGCGCACAGACACCGUCUUGAUGAGAAACUGUUAGAGAGCAUUGUGUGGCGUCAUCAGCACCUGGAUGUACAGAAUACUGAGGAUUUCUGGCACCUGGUUGAACAAGACAAGAAGAGCUCUUCUGUUCAUCCUUACCCCAUCCUCCUACAGUGUACAGACAUGACCAUGCGGAUGAUGAGCAAUGUCAGUUCCCCUGACAAUUUCUCAAGAUGCAGCCCUAAAUGGCACCCCAGCAGCUUGCAGUGAAUCCUUUGUGCACACAGAGAACACACACCGACUCAGCUGCAUUGGUCUGAUCCCCUGCACAAGAUACUUGCCAGCCCUUCUGUACAAACCCAGCUCUCUGAGGACUUUUUUCUUCCCUCCAGCCUCCUCCUUUCCCCCAUGCCCACCCCUUUCCCCACAGGAAAUGACCUUCCCCCGGGUCUUUGAAGCUCGAAACUGCAGCUGGGAUCAGGACAGCCAAACAAUGGGAUCACCGUCCCAUGGAAGUAUUCGGCUCCUUCUGAUGGGGCUGGCCCCCAGACAAGUGACAUGGGCACCAGUCGGUCUCUCUCUUCGCUGUGGGUGAUGGCCGUGCAGCCCAGGGGACACAGGAUCGCUGGGAACAGCCAGGCUGAGGGAAGACAAGAAGAACCAAAAGCUGGUAUACAGUAUCAUAACAUGCACCAAACACAGGGAAGAUCGUGGAGCUGGGGACUGACAAAGCAACAGCAAAUAAAAAAUGUGUUAGAAAAAUGUGUAAAAAACCCCUCAGCGGUGCCAGGGGUGAGGAGGAAGAAACCCCCAGUGUCAACAUCAUAUUCUUCCUUGGGAAGGACUCGGGGGUGCCAACAACUCGCUGCAGCCCCCCCACCUUCCUCUUGCAGACAGUGGUGCUGUCGCCCUUAGGGCCCAGGGCAAGGAGGGCUGAGCACCCAGCCAGGAAAUGGGGAGCAACUGGGAAGUCUGGGUGUCUCAGCUGUAACUGUCUGAGUCAUGGGAACAAGCUGGGUUUAGCCUGGGAGCGUUAGCCCCACCAGACCGAGAAGAAGUCCAGAAGGUGGCUGCCUGCAUUCGGGUCAGACAAAGCCCUCGGCUGGCAACACCACAUGUGGCUCUGUAGCCCACAGCAACUGCCCGUGGUGUGCUGCAAUAGCUGAUGUGGGAAGCUCAGAGCCAAGGGGGAAAAAGUGUCUAUUUGACCUCUGACGGUAACUGCCCCCCUUGCAUUUCUCCUGAAGGUCACCAGCCACUUGCUGGCUGCCUGAACACAGGUGGCUCUGACGGGCAGCAUCCCAUCCAGCACAGCAGAAGUGAAGUCUGCGUGGCCUGUGCUAGGGGGAUGUAUUUUACGUCUCCACAGUCCAGAGAGAGAUCAGAAACAGGAGAGAUCGUAUCGCAAUUCUGGCUCUUCAAAAAAGGGAGGAAACUCAGGGGCGUGAUUAGUGGGGCAGCCAGUUAGUCCUUGAGGGCACAACUGCUUUAACGUCCAGCUGUGCUUGCGGGGCUUUUGGUAUUCUGUGUAGCUAAGAGAUCUGGAUGUGCAUCCCUGGCUCAGCUCCAGACCCCAGCUGGGAGCAGGGCCACAGUAGCAAGGACCUGCCACAUCCGUGCCACGGGCCCUGUUAGGGUAAUGAGGGCUGUGCCUUGGCACGGGCUGACACAUCAGCCUCCUCGCCCCUCACCACUGGGCAAUACAAAGUUGCAACCUACCCUCUCGCUGGCAGCUGCCGCUGUGGAGAAGCUUGGGCUGAUGGAUGUGCUGCUUAGGGAUACUAGGAGCUCAUCAACAAGAAGCUGCUGUUGAUGUGAAAAACUUGGAUAUGAAAUUGGACACAAUGACCUGAAACCAGGGUGCUUUUAUUGUCUUGCCAAGGUGGUGUGUCGCACCCAGUCAUGGGAAAUCUCUGUUCCUCUGACCAUCCUCUGCAACAGGAGGUCCCUAACAUCUCUGACCCUGCUACUGCCAAGCUUGAAGCUUUUCCUGCCACCCAUUACCGCAGGCCACCACCUCACUGAUCUGCAAUGCUGCGUGACAGCCCAAAGCAGAGGAACCCCUCUAAAUCAUUCAUUCAAUUCUCCCCCUCUCUUGGGGGUCUCAGUAGAUGAGCUCCCGCUGUGGGAAAUUCACUAAACAAGGGCCUGUAGGAAACCACUGGGAAAAGAAGGAAACAAUGCUGGCAGAAAGCGAGGGCAACCUCAGAGGCUGAGGAAAGCUCCCUGAGCACCAGAAAGGCUGUGCGCCGUGUCUGACACCCGUUUCUCGCAGCCCCGUGGUGCGGCACAGCAGGGACAGGCACCGGCAGCGUUUCAGUGCAGAGGCAAAUGCUGGGGACCAGGGACAUCUGGGGUACAUGGCAGCUCUGGGGAUCUGUGACACUGACUCAUGGCCAUUCUGGGACUGCCCGCUGUCCAAAGGAGCUUUUCUGCAAGCCACAUAACAAACAGGUCUCAGGUACAGUAAGAAGCCAGAACUGCUGGAGGAUGUAGGAUGAUUCAGGUUGGAAGAGGCAGUGGGAGGUUGCUAGUCCAGCCUCCUGCUCAGACCAGUCAGCCAUGGGUUCAGACCAGGUGGCUCAGGAACUUAUCCAGUCGGGUUUAAAACACCUUGAAGGAUGAGGAUGCCGCAGCCUCCCCAGGCAACCCAUCCCGGUGACUGACUGUCCGCCUGAUAAAACACUUUCCCUUACAUGCAGUCGGAUGCAGGAGCUUGUCUGGUGGGAGCAGGAACUUGUUGUUGUGCAAUUCAUGAGCAGCCCAGGGGCACCCUGCGGUGGGGGUCAGUACGGAUGCCUGCUGCAGAGCUCAGUUAUCAGUCUCCUGGCUUUUAUGAGCUGCCCCUUUACCCCCUCACUGCCAACUACCUCUGUAAAUAGUGCAGCAGAUCAGCUGUGAGCGUCCCUGGGGUACCCAUGGCCACGCUGGCCAGCUGGCAAGCAGCUGAAGAAAGGGAGGAUCAAGCACCACAAGCUGGGCUGCCUUUCCUGUGCAGCUUUUUCCCCACAGCCUCGCCGAGUGUCUCUGGCUCCACCAUGAGGUUGGGAACAUGCUGGGACCCGUGUGUGAGCAUGGAAACAUCAUCUGCUGCGCAGCAAAAGCUGUAAGCCAGCACUCGCCGAGACAGCCAAACCUGCUUGCUCUUUUCUCCCUGCCUCCUCGCUUGUUCCUACCCAGCACAAGCAACAGAAGCAUUGGUGUGUCCCCGCAGCGAACUGCAUCAGGGAGCUGACUUGUCUUACGAAGGACUCAGCUCGUCCCCCGUGCUGAUCUCGCUCUGUGCAGACUCCGUUUCCCCAGGGGCGUCACCGCAUGGCUGCGCUGAUGCUGGUGCUGGGGCACGACAAGGAGCAACAGGCUGGGGAGGGGUGUCUGGCUAGCUGAAGGAACUCCAACGCUGCACAUUUAGUAUUAAUGGACCCAGGCUAACUGGGUUUGUGCUAGAUGUGCUUUGAUCUCCUUGAGACUUCUUGCCAUUCAGGUAUUUAUGAAAACUUGCUAUCUCAGCUUCACAGCCCUGGGAAAUAUUUGGAGCCAAAGCAAGAAUGGUCUCAGGUCCUUCCACAUCACACAUUUCAUUGCCCUGCAGAGCAGAGGGGACAAAAAGCAACCGCAAUGCUGAUCUCAUUUAGCACACAGACCAAGGUCUCGCUGGGGCCAAAGUUACCCUUGCCUGAAGGCCAAGUUCAAGUUCUUGCCAUUUGCUCUGCUUUCUACCUGCCCCUGUUGCACUUCUGUGGGACCAGCAAAGGGUGUUUGAAUCAAGUGGUUGUGUAUCCAAGUGAGAAACUGGUGGGAGCUCUGCCAUGGCUGUACAGUGCCCGCAGGACAGCGGUGGGGGAAAAACACCUGAGAAUGUGCUUUCCAGGAGUAUCUUUCAUUGCUUCUUUCAGUUCACCCAGAUCAAAUCCAUGCAGAGGAGUUGGAGUGGACGGGAGCACAGAAAUGGGAGGAAGCUGGAUUGUUAAACUGAGCAACCAAGCAUUCCUGACAGACUGAGCUCAUGCCCUGCCUGGGGUUUGCUUCCCCACGCCUGGGCAUCUCUCUCUGGUUUUCUGUGUCAACGGUUUGAAUGCUAGCAAGAGAAAGUGAGAUUUGAUUAUGCGUAUGGAUCACUCUCUCUUUUCCCCCCAGGUAUGGCUUUCACUAAGUGCCUGCUUUUCCUUCUGAUUGUUAGUUAACAUUGCUUUACAGCAAAGCUCCGGUGCAAAGUACUGCAGUCCUUUCUGAGGGUACAGGACAGAGAGGUGGGUGAGAGGAGGAGGAAGGAAGCCCCUUCUUCCCUGCAGGCCAGUGAGUAAUUGCGAGUGAAUGAGAAGUAGCUGUUAGCAACUCUGCCUCCUACUUGUCACAAAUUCAUCUGAGAGACCUGUCAGCAUGCUGAAGAGCUGAAAAGUGCGUCGGCUUCUCAAGGCUUUGACAAUAUGGUGCCUGUAACUGAGAGCUACUUGACUGACAUGUUCCAGGUCUUAAUUUUAGUACAUGUAGUACAGCAGGACCAAGCUGCUGGCUGGCAGGUGACCCAGUCAUGCGGAGCACUGCAUACGCUGCAGCUGGGGAGUCCCUCUUCUAAGCAUCCCCCCCUCCCCAGCCAAACUGAUUCACUGCAAUGCUGACGAGAAGCGGGUUGCAGAUGAGAGUACACUCACCACAGUUCUGUGCUUUAGGAGCAAACAUCACCUGAAAUGAAGCACCUGGUCUGAUUGUAAACUGUUUGUGAGAUUUUUAUUGAGGUUAUUAUUUCUGCAGACCAUCUUAACAUGCAGACAUGUUAAAUUUAGAGCUGAGCUGACAAAGGCGGUAGCACUGUCAUUGCUGUCUUAGCAUUUGAAGAUUUCAAAACUCUUAGCAUUAAGUCCUUAGAAUUUCUAACAUGACUUGUGAAGGUGGACCACACCACAUCAAUUUCAGGAAGCCUUUAACCAGACUGAAGACUGAAGCAAUUGCUCUAGAGCACGGCUUGCCCUAGCUGAGCACUCCUCAACUCAGAAUCAGUAUCCCCCCACAGAGCUGAAUAUCUCUUCACCUUUGCUGAGACAAGACAGGAUGUCUGAUCUUAAAUCCUGCAGCAAAUGUUGUUUUCCCUGGUCUCUCAAAAACAGCCGGGAUCAUGGCACAGGUCUAACACGAUAGGUCAACAUAAAUAGAGCAUACAGACCAGAGGCUAGCCAAACCUCUGGCUGGAUGACUGCAUUUGUGCUGGGCACCACUGCGGCUCAUGGGAUGUACUGCUCAAAAAGUGCUCUCUGUCCAAAAGAUGCCUGUAAUUACAAAACCUUCAUUGGAUAAAAUUCUUCCCAUCAGAAGGACUCAAGUGCUAUGGCUGGCUGUCAGGGUUGCAGCUAGCUCGCUACCUGUGCUCUCUCAAGCGGUGCUAACCUGAAGCAUUCAAGAACCAGCAAGAUCAGGGAGCUCUCGCAGCCGGCCACUCCAAAACAAUUUUUGAGGGGUGUCCCAUGGCAAUUCCUUGCUGUGUCCUACACCUCACUCCUUUUUGUGUUCACAUUAGGCAUUCAGUGUGCAAGAUGAUGCAGGUUUCUAGGCUUGGCUUGCUGACUGGUGUAAUCAGUGACAGAGCGACUCAGUUCUGGAGGAAGAAGUAUGCACAGAUGCUGCAGACCCACUUCAGAGACUGAUGAAGUACCCUUUGGGAUCUUCCAAGUCCCCUUUCCCCAUCAAGAGUUUGGCCCCAUUGCAUUUAAUCUAUCUGCUGUACUGUCACACCAGGAUUUAUUUGGAAAUUCUACAUGUAUAUGUAUCUAUACCUAUACACAGCUCUUAUGUUCCCUACAUAUAUCCUCCAGUGAAACUCUCCCAUCAUAAUCCCAGAUUUUCUUAAGGAAGCUGGCUCUGCUAAAACAGUGAAGCUCAAUUUGGGUGACCUAGGGCAAAGUCUUCUGCACAUACUUGUCUUCAUUUCGGUAGUUUAGAUGAGAAUCUUUUCAAGGCAAUCUAAAAUAUUCCCAGACUGGAAUUCCUUAGAAAAGAAAUUGCAGCCUGGGUAUCUUAAUGAACUUAGGCAACAAAGCCUUCAUUUAAACCUAAAAGCAUCAGCUACAAUUAAAGCACCGCUUCAUUUUGAUAGGAUCUGUUUAAACCACUGCCAGUCAUAUCAUAACAGGGGCCACCGACCUUCCAUUUCUAACAAGCAACUAACUCUAAAACACUCAACUAAAACUCAACUAACAUUAAAAAAAUGUAGUCCUUUAGCAAGUUAGGAAGAAAAAAAGAAAAAAAGAAAACUUCCAAUAGGUGAUUCUGACUGGUUUUAUUUCUUUAGAGCCCCAUUUGUCAUUGCUGAGUUCUGAAUUCCAUUGAAAUAAUUGCAUUCACCAGGUACCCAACCCCCAUGUCCCAAACCCAAAGAACUUAGCAACUGAUUUUUAAAGCAGAAGCAAGUAUCUAUACCUCCACACAUCAGCAUUUAGGUCAAACCUCCAAGAAGUGGAUGCUAACAAUAGCAGAGACUGAUUUUUGAAAAAACAGCUGGUUUUCCACUCCCAGACAGAAAUUCCCCACAAGCAUUACAGCCUCAUGGCUCAGCUUGUUUUUUGUUGGGCAAUCUCAGGCUUCCAAGGUCUGCAUGGCCCCGCUGCUGACAGUCUGUAGAGGAGGAAGGUGAAAGUAAACUCUAAAGGAACACAACAUUAUUAUUACAUUUUCCCUGCUUAGUGCCAUUUACUUCGCAAAGCUCUUAAAUUUUAAGUGUACAAUUGCAACACUGCUUUCUCAUUAAGCAUCAGAGUAAACAGAUGCUUAUUUUAACACAUUUCUUCAGGCAGUUGCUGAUGGUUAUCUUGCCAUGUGCUGCGGUCUGGGUAAACUGUGCUUAAAAAUUAGCAGAGGCUGACUCUGUUGAAUACAGAGACUGUGGCUGCCUGCAAGGUACAAGCAUGUGUGAAAGUACUAACAGCCCUUCAGCAGCUGUAAGCAUUAAGAAAACAUGAUAGAAUUGUGGAGCAGUGGAAACACCAAAACUCCCUCCAGUCCUGAUUCUCUAGCUGUGUUUUGUCAGCUAGGCACCUAAACCCUGGACUCUUUUGCAAGAAAUCCACUAAAAUUUGAGUACGACAUUCUGCAUUUGAUCCCACCUUCACGCUGGUAAGUGCCAGCCACAGGUAUCACCAAUCCUGGAGGAAGCAGUUAGGAGAGGUGAGGACAAGUUUCAGGAUUAGUCCUGCUAUCUAUUAUCACAGCAAAAAGAGAUCACUAUCCUUACAAAGAUAUUUUUGGCUGCAGUUUUGAAAGUGAGGUAGGAGCGAGAACAAACGGGCAAGCACAUGGCAAUGUCUUACUCUG